RNAcentral lists this transfer RNA (66 nucleotides) under Kuwayamaea chinensis. Its description in RNAcentral is "tRNA-Arg". Lineage: Eukaryota; Metazoa; Arthropoda; Insecta; Orthoptera; Tettigoniidae. The record is from RNAcentral.
AAAUAAGAAGCGAUUAUAUUGCAUUCAGUUUCGACCUGAAACCUAGAUGAUAUUCAUCCUUAUUUA